ACAACCAGUUCAAAUCCCCUUUUAGAAAUAUUUGGCGGAUUGGUUAUUGGUGGAUGAGGGGAUGCAUGCAUAACGUUGAAUCACCUCACCACCGAAAUUCAGAGGCGGUUUGUCCCCACGUGUUUGUGGCGUUGUAAAAGCUUUACCAGCACUAUUCGCUCGCAUCGUGGGUGCACUGCUUGCCAUCGGAGAAAUCCCCAUUCAUCAAA
Molecule: unclassified non-coding RNA, 209 nt
Filed under: uncultured Humaria
Lineage: Eukaryota; Fungi; Ascomycota; Pezizomycetes; Pezizales; Pyronemataceae
Description: sequence contains ITS2
Source: RNAcentral